GACAGAGGUGCCAAGCGUUAGGCGGAAUCACUGGGCUUAAAGCGUGUGUAGGCGGGUCGUUAAGUACCUUGUGAAAUCCCACGGCUCAACCGUGGAACUGCUUGGUAUACUGGCGAUCUUGAGCCAGCUAGGGGCUACCGGAACAAACGGUGGAGCGGUGAAAUGCGUAGAUAUCGUGUGGAACGCCAAUGGUGAAAACAGGUAGCUGGGGCUGUGCUGACGCUGAGACACGAAAGCCAGGGGAGCGAACGGG
Molecule: ribosomal RNA, 253 nt
Filed under: uncultured bacterium
Lineage: Bacteria
Description: partial 16S ribosomal RNA
Rfam family: Bacterial small subunit ribosomal RNA
Source: RNAcentral